UUGCCUUUUUGCUUUAGGCUAAUGUAGCAUUUUUAUUUUUAUUUGACAAAUAUUGUCCAAUCAUGAAUUAACUAGGCUCAAAAUAUUCAUCUCGCGAUUUACAGACAAACUGUGCAAUUAGUUUUUUAUUUUCAUCUAUAUUUAAUAUUUCAUACAUGUAUAACAAGAUUUGAUGUGACGGGGAAUCUUGAAAAGUUUUUUUAAUUUUUUUGGGUCUACAGAUGACCUGAUCAAGGCCUUGUUUACUUCCACUCAAAAACCUAAAGUUUUUCAAGAUUUUCCAUAACAUCGAACCUUUAGACAUAUACAUAGAGUAUUAAAUAUAGACGAAAAUAAAGACUAAUUACAUAGUUUGGUCGGAAUUGAUGAGACGAAUCUUUUAAGCCUAGUUAAUUCAUGGUUGGAUAAUAAUAAUUAAUACAAACAAACGAAAGUGCUAUAGAGUGUCAUGAAAUUUUUUCGUUGGGGAAGUAAACACGGCCCAAGUAUCCCAGGUUUCAGAUUGACCUGCACUGCAUUGACAACCAAGUCUCGAAUGUUAACACCAACGUCAGCCGGUGCCCCAGGUUUCACAUUGACCCUGCUCAUACUAUUCUAUUCUGUAAUAAGGCCC
RNAcentral lists this long non-coding RNA (613 nucleotides) under Sorghum bicolor (sorghum). Its description in RNAcentral is "long non-coding RNA (SBIC_LNC007471)". The record is from RNAcentral. Lineage: Eukaryota; Viridiplantae; Streptophyta; Magnoliopsida; Poales; Poaceae.